GGUUGUCAUGCCAAUGGCACUGCCCGGUAGCUAAAUGCGGAAGAGAUAAGUGCUGAAAGCAUCUAAGCACGAAACUUGCCCCGAGAUGAGUCUUCCCUGAGACUUUAAGUCUCCUGAAGGAACGUUGAAGACGACGACGUUGAUAGGCCGGGUGUGUAAGCGCAGCGAUGCGUUGAGCUAACCGGUACUAAUGAACCGUGAGGCUUAACCUUACAACGCCGAAGCUGUU
Molecule: ribosomal RNA, 229 nt
Filed under: Salmonella enterica
Lineage: Bacteria; Pseudomonadati; Pseudomonadota; Gammaproteobacteria; Enterobacterales; Enterobacteriaceae
Description: partial 23S ribosomal RNA
Rfam family: Bacterial large subunit ribosomal RNA
Source: RNAcentral